GCCUCUUGCACACACAUAAGAGGUCCAGCCUGCCCAGUGACUAAAUUCAACGGCCGCGGUAUCCUAACCGUGCGAAGGUAGCGUAAUCACUUGUUCUUUAAAUGAGGACUAGUAUGAAUGGCACCACGAGGGUUAUACUGUCUCCUUUUUCUAAUCAAUGAAACUGAUCUCCCCGUGAAGAAGCGGGGAUAAAAUUAUUAGACGAGAAGACCCUAUGGAGCUUCAAACAAUAUAGCAACGGCUUAUUUACCAAUGUAAUUUCAGAAUACUUACGCUUAUCCUAGCCUUUUUGACUAUCAGUUUUGGGUUGGGGUGACCAUGGAGCAAAACGUAACCUCCAUGCUGAAUAGACCUCCUCUUGAGCCAAAAGCCACAACUUUAAGCACCAAUAAACUGACAUAAGUUGACCCAAUAUUUUGAGCAACGAACCAAGUUACCCUAGGGAUAACAGCGCAAUCCACUUCAAGAGCCCCUAUCGACAAGUGGGUUUACGACCUCGAUGUUGGAUCAGGGUAUCCCAGUGGUGCAGCCGCUACUAAAGGUUCGUUUGUUCAACGAUUAAAACCCUA
Molecule: ribosomal RNA, 569 nt
Filed under: Dendropsophus subocularis (Rio Tuquesa treefrog)
Lineage: Eukaryota; Metazoa; Chordata; Amphibia; Anura; Hylidae
Description: partial 16S ribosomal RNA
Rfam family: Bacterial large subunit ribosomal RNA
Source: RNAcentral